Capsicum annuum is the source of this 217-nucleotide non-coding RNA. Lineage: Eukaryota; Viridiplantae; Streptophyta; Magnoliopsida; Solanales; Solanaceae. The record is from Rfam.
AUGACCUUACUUGAAUAGGACCUGUUCUAUAGGCUCGUACCACUGAAUCCUUGGUUCUUAAGGAGACAGGAGACUAGGUUUGGUUGAUGAAGUAGGUCCAUGGGACCAGAGCGUGAAUAACAGCCAUCCAUGGCUUGUUCGAGCGCCCUGCUGGUGUAGAUGAUCGUUCAUCCUGGUACACAGGACACGAGAUGGUUUCAUGGUUGUCUGACAGAGA